AUUGAACGCUAGCGGGAUGCCUUACACAUGCAAGUCGAACGGAGUGGCGAACGGGUGAGUAAUGUAUCGGAACGUGCCCAGUAGCGGGGGAUAACUAAGCGAAAGCGUAGCUAAUACCGCAUACUAUUGGAGCGGCCGAUAUCGGAUUAGCUAGUUGGUGGGGUAACGGCGCACCAAGGCGACGAUCCGUAGCUGGUUUGAGAGGACGACCAGCCAAACUAGGACUGAGACACGGACCAGACACAUGAGUGAGGCAGCAGUGGGGAAUGUUGGGCAAUGGGGGAAACCCUGAUCCAGCCAUCCCGCGUGUGAGAUGAAGGCCUUCGGGUUGUAAAGCACUUUUGGCAGGAAAGCGGUACCUGCAGAAUAAGCACCGGCUAACUACGUGCCAGCAGCCGCGGUAAUUC
This 407-nucleotide ribosomal RNA is filed under the name uncultured bacterium. RNAcentral's name for it is "partial 16S ribosomal RNA". It matches the Rfam family "Bacterial small subunit ribosomal RNA", at positions 30 to 526 of the family's 1533-position model. The record is from RNAcentral.